Molecule: transfer RNA, 87 nt
Organism: Coniochaeta ligniaria NRRL 30616
Lineage: Eukaryota; Fungi; Ascomycota; Sordariomycetes; Coniochaetales; Coniochaetaceae
Rfam family: tRNA
About the family: Transfer RNA (tRNA) molecules are approximately 80 nucleotides in length. Their secondary structure includes four short double-helical elements and three loops (D, anti-codon, and T loops).
Source: Rfam
GGGGAUGUAGCUCAUCUGGUAGAGCGCGUGCUUAGCAUGUCUGACGGCUCAUGCACGAGGUACUGGGUUCGACUCCCAGCUUCUCCA